Molecule: ribosomal RNA, 1029 nt
Filed under: Streptococcus pneumoniae
Lineage: Bacteria; Bacillati; Bacillota; Bacilli; Lactobacillales; Streptococcaceae
Description: bacterial LSU rRNA
Rfam family: Bacterial large subunit ribosomal RNA
Source: RNAcentral
AAUGGUAUCAGUGGUAGGGGAGCGUUCUAAGGACAGUGAAGUCAGACCGGAAGGACUGGUGGAGUGCUUAGAAGUGAGAAUGCCGGUAUGAGUAGCGAAAGACGGGUGAGAAUCCCGUCCACCGAAUGCCUAAGGUUUCCUGAGGAAGGCUCGUCCGCUCAGGGUUAGUCAGGACCUAAGCCGAGGCCGACAGGCGUAGGCGAUGGACAACAGGUUGAUAUUCCUGUACCACCUCUUUAUCGUUUGAGCAAUGGAGGGACGCAGAAGGAUAGAAGAAGCGUGCGAUUGGUUGUGCACGUCCAAGCAGUUAGGCUGAUAAGUAGGCAAAUCCGCUUAUCAUGAAGGCUGAGCUGUGAUGGGGAAGCUCCUUAUGGAGCGAAGUCUUUGAUUCCCCGCUGCCAAGAAAAGCUUCUAGCGAGAUAAAAGGUGCCUGUACCGCAAACCGACACAGGUAGGCGAGGAGAGAAUCCUAAGGUGUGCGAGAGAACUCUGGUUAAGGAACUCGGCAAAAUGACCCCGUAACUUCGGGAGAAGGGGUGCUUUCUUAACGGAAAGCCGCAGUGAAUAGGCCCAAGCGACUGUUUAGCAAAAACACAGCUCUCUGCGAAGCCGUAAGGCGAAGUAUAGGGGGUGACACCUGCCCGGUGCUGGAAGGUUAAGGAGAGGGGUUAGCGUAAGCGAAGCUCUGAACUGAAGCCCCAGUAAACGGCGGCCGUAACUAUAACGGUCCUAAGGUAGCGAAAUUCCUUGUCGGGUAAGUUCCGACCCGCACGAAAGGUGUAACGAUUUGGGCACUGUCUCAACCAGAGACUCGGUGAAAUUAUAGUACCUGUGAAGAUGCAGGUUACCCGCGACAGGACGGAAAGACCCCGUGGAGCUUUACUGUAGCCUGAUAUUGAAUUUUGGUACAGUUUGUACAGGAUAGGCGGGAGCCAUUGAAACCGGAGCGCUAGCUUCGGUGGAGGCGCUGGUGGGAUACCGCCCUGACUGUAUUGAAAUUCUAACCUACGGGUCUUAUCGACCCGGGAG